AACGUAGGACGCAAGCGUUAUCCGGAUUUACUGGGCGUAAAGCGCGGGCAGGCGGUUCUGCCAGUCUGAUGUGAAAUCUCCUCGCUCAACGGGGAGCAGCCAUUGGAAACUACAGAACUGGAGUCUGACAGAGGUAGGCGGAAUUCCGGGUGGAGUGGUGAAAUGCGUAGAGAUCCGGAGGAACACCAGAGGCGAAGGCGGCCUACUGGGUCAGUACUGACGCUGAGCCGCGAAAGCCAGGGGAGCAAACAGG
Molecule: ribosomal RNA, 253 nt
Filed under: uncultured bacterium
Lineage: Bacteria
Description: partial 16S ribosomal RNA
Rfam family: Bacterial small subunit ribosomal RNA
Source: RNAcentral